ACCAGCUACUGCUGCCAAUCUUGCUAAGCUAUCCCUCGCUGCUAAGCUAUCCCUCGCUGCUAAGCUAUUCCUCACUACUAAGCUAUCUAUCACUGCCAAUCUAUUGCUGCUAAUCUAUCACUGCUAAUCUAUCGCUGCUAAUCUAUCGCUGCUAAUCUAUCACUGCUAAUCUAUUGCUGCUAAUCUAUUGCUGCUAAUCUAUUGCUGCUGCCAAUCUAUCUAUCACUGCUAAUCUAUCACUGCUAAUCUAUCGCUGCUAAUUUAUUGCUGCUGCCAAUCUAUCUAUCGCUGCUAAUCUAUCGCUGCCAACCUAUCUACCGCGGCGAAUCUAUCCAUCGCUGCCAAUUUAUCUACCACUGCCAAUCUAUCUAUCACUGCUAAUCUAUCGCUGCCAACCUAUCUACCACUGCCAAUCUAUCUAUCACUGCUAAUCUAUCGCUGCCAAUCUAUCUACCGCGGCGAAUCUAUCUAUUGCUGUCAACCAAUCUAUCUAUCACUGUCAAUCUAUCUAUCGCUGCCAAUCUAUCGCUGCCAAUCUAUCACUGCCAAUCUAUCUACUGCACUAUCCUUACUAGUUCAAAAUAGAACUAGAGCAUAAAUACACUAAACUUCUUUUGAUAGAUAAUGAUUUUUGAUAACACUCAUAACAUUAUAUCAUCUAUAUAGAGUAAAUCAUGGUCUCAUUUGUGUAACGGGUGUACUUCGAUUAACGAUUUGAUACUAUCCUAAUUACAGAUUAUGAAUUGAUUAAGAAAAGAAGAAGAAAAGAAAUCAGAAGAAAAGAUUGUAUGAAGAGGAUUUUUAUAAAAAAAAGUUUG
Molecule: small RNA, 818 nt
Filed under: Histoplasma ohiense
Lineage: Eukaryota; Fungi; Ascomycota; Eurotiomycetes; Onygenales; Ajellomycetaceae
Description: hypothetical lncRNA
Source: RNAcentral